GAGUACGGCCGCAAGGUUAAAACUCAAAUGAAUUGACGGGGGCCCGCACAAGCGGUGGAGCAUGUGGUUUAAUUCGAUGCAACGCGAAGAACCUUACCUGGUCUUGACAUCCACGGAAGUUUUCAGAGAUGAGAAUGUGCCUUCGGGAACCGUGAGACAGGUGCUGCAUGGCUGUCGUCAGCUCGUGUUGUGAAAUGUUGGGUUAAGUCCCGCAACGAGCGCAACCCUUAUCCUUUGUUGCCAGCGGUCCGGCCGGGAACUCAAAGGAGACUGCCAGUGAUAAACUGGAGGAAGGUGGGGAUGACGUCAAGUCAUCAUGGCCCUUACGACCAGGGCUACACACGUGCUACAAUGGCGCAUACAAAGAGAAGCGACCUCGCGAGAGCAAGCGGACCUCAUAAAGUGCGUCGUAGUCCGGAUUGGAGUCUGCAACUCGACUCCAUGAAGUCGGAAUCGCUAGUAAUCGUGGAUCAGAAUGCCACGGUGAAUACGUUCCCGGGCCUUGUACACACCGCCCGUCACACCAUGGGAGUGGGUUGCAAAAGAAGUAGGUAGCUUAACCUUCGGGAGGGCGCUUACCACUUUGUGAUUCAUGACUGGGGUGAAGUCGUAACAAGGUAACCGUAGGGGAACCUGCGGUUGGA
This 644-nucleotide ribosomal RNA is filed under the name Escherichia coli. Its description in RNAcentral is "bacterial SSU rRNA". It matches the Rfam family "Bacterial small subunit ribosomal RNA", at positions 878 to 1522 of the family's 1533-position model. Lineage: Bacteria; Pseudomonadati; Pseudomonadota; Gammaproteobacteria; Enterobacterales; Enterobacteriaceae. The record is from RNAcentral.